RNAcentral lists this ribosomal RNA (695 nucleotides) under uncultured bacterium. RNAcentral's name for it is "bacterial SSU rRNA". It matches the Rfam family "Bacterial small subunit ribosomal RNA", at positions 54 to 745 of the family's 1533-position model. The record is from RNAcentral.
CAUGCAAGUCGAACGAGAAAGGGUUCUUCGGAACCCGAGUACAGUGGCGAACGGGUGCGUAACACGUAGGCAACCCGCCCUUGAGUGGGGAAUAACUACCGGAAACGGUGGCUAAUACCGCAUGAAGACCAGAGACCGCAUGAUCUUCGGUUGAAAGACUUCGGUCGCUCAAGGAUGGGCCUGCGGCGGAUUAGCUUGUUGGUGAGGUAAAAGCUCACCAAGGCUACGAUCCGUAGCUGGUCUGAGAGGAUGAUCAGCCACACUGGCACUGAGACACGGGCCAGACUCCUACGGGAGGCAGCAGUAAGGAAUCUUGCGCAAUGGAGGAAACUCUGACGCAGCCACGCCGCGUGAAGGAAGACACCCCUAUGGGGCGUAAACUUCUUUUAUAUGGGAAGAACCCCCUGCUCUGCAGGGUCUGACGGUACCAUAUGAAUAAGCACCGGCUAACUCCGUGCCAGCAGCCGCGGUAAUACGGAGGGUGCAAGCGUUGUCCGGAAUCACUGGGUGUAAAGGGUGUGUAGGCGGGGCAGUAAGUCAGAGGUGAAAGCCCACGGCUCAACCGUGGAAUUGCCUUUGAUACUGCUGUUCUUGAGUCCUGGAGAGGUCGCCGGAAUUCGUGGUGUAGCGGUGAAAUGCGUAGAUAUCACGAGGAACACCGGAGGUGUAGACGGGUGACUGGACAGGUACUGACG